GAUGAACGCUGGCGGCGUGCCUAAUACAUGCAAGUCGAGCGAACAGACGAGGAGCUUGCUCCUCUGACGUUAGCGGCGGACGGGUGAGUAACACGUGGAUAACCUACCUAUAAGACUGGGAUAACUUCGGGAAACCGGAGCUAAUACCGGAUAAUAUAUUGAACCGCAUGGUUCAAUAGUGAAAGACGGUUUUGCUGUCACUUAUAGAUGGAUCCGCGUCGCAUUAGCUAGUUGGUAAGGUAACGGCUUACCAAGGCGACGAUGCGUAGCCGACCUGAGAGGGUGAGCAGCCACCCUGGAACUGUGACACGCCCCAGACGCCUACGGGAGGCAGCAGUAGGGAAUCUUCCGCAAUGGGCGAAAGCCUGACGGAGCAACGCCGCGUGAGUGAUGAAGGUCUUCGGAUCGUAAAACUCUGUUAUUAGGGAAGAACAAAUGUGUAAGUAACUAUGCACGUCUUGACGGUACCUAAUCAGAAAGCCACGGCUAACUACGUG
RNAcentral lists this ribosomal RNA (497 nucleotides) under uncultured bacterium. RNAcentral describes it as "partial 16S ribosomal RNA". It matches the Rfam family "Bacterial small subunit ribosomal RNA", at positions 28 to 507 of the family's 1533-position model. The record is from RNAcentral.